Sorex fumeus (smoky shrew) is the source of this 404-nucleotide long non-coding RNA. RefSeq lists it as uncharacterized. Lineage: Eukaryota; Metazoa; Chordata; Mammalia; Eulipotyphla; Soricidae. The transcript is spliced from 4 exons. The record is from RefSeq and is a predicted model, not a curated record.
CAAAAACAGAGGCUGCUGGAACCCACUUGGAAGGAACUAGAAUCUGCCUCCAGUUCCCAAAAGGCCACAAUGUGUCAGCUUGUCAGCUUGAGAAAAAGUUGUAGAACAACAUGCUAAAACUCACAUUACAUGUCCUCCGUUCAGAGCUGCAGUGAAGAAAGAUUUCACUGGGUUGAUAAGGGUUGGAAUAAGCAGUAGCAUUUAUGUGUGGAGUGGUAUUGGAAAAUUAAGAUCAAGAUCUGAUGGCUUACUUUCAUGAGGUUCUGUUGUUGGAGCCACAAGGACCCUUAAGAAAAAUGCUUGGAGCCAGCUGGUCUCUGCCAUCAGUGAAAACCCAAAGGGAGGAGCUCCACAGGCAAGGACUGCUCCCUAGAUGUCUUGAAGUUGCUUGCAUUUCAAAAGAA